GUCAAGGCUGUAUAUUGUCACCUUGCUUAUUUAACUUAUAUGCAGAGCACAUCAUGCGAAAUGCCAGCCUGGACGAAGAGCGAGCCGGAAUCGAGAUUUCCGGGAGAAAGAUCGGUAACCUCAGAUAUGCAGAUGACACCACCCUUAUGUCAGAAAGGGAAAAGGAAUUAAAGAGCCUCUUGAUGAAGGU
Long non-coding RNA from Cervus elaphus (red deer), 190 nucleotides. RefSeq lists it as uncharacterized. The record is from RefSeq and is a predicted model, not a curated record. Lineage: Eukaryota; Metazoa; Chordata; Mammalia; Artiodactyla; Cervidae. The transcript has 2 exons.